RNAcentral lists this ribosomal RNA (411 nucleotides) under uncultured bacterium. Its description in RNAcentral is "partial 16S ribosomal RNA". It matches the Rfam family "Bacterial small subunit ribosomal RNA", at positions 355 to 758 of the family's 1533-position model. The record is from RNAcentral.
UGGGGAAUACCCCACAAUGGGCGCAAGCCUGCUGCAGCUCCGCCGCGUGUAUGAAGAAGGCCUUCGGGUUGUAAAGUACUUUCAGCCGGGAGGAACGGAGUAAAGUUAAUACCUUUGCUCAUUGACGUUACCCGCAGAAGAAGCACCGGCUAACUCCGUGCCAGCAGCCGCGGUAAUACGGAGGGUGCAAGCGUUAAUCGGAAUUACUGGGCGUAAAGCGCACGCAGGCGGUUUGUUAAGUCAGAUGUGAAAUCCCCGGGCUCAACCUGGGAACUGCAUCUGAUACUGGCAAGCUUGAGUCUCGUAGAGGGGGGUAGAAUUCCAGGUGUAGCGGUGAAAUGCGUAGAGAUCUGGAGGAAUACCGGUGGCGAAGGCGGCCCCCUGGACGAAGACUGACGCUCAGGUGCGAAA